Molecule: non-coding RNA, 2361 nt
Organism: Amborella trichopoda
Lineage: Eukaryota; Viridiplantae; Streptophyta; Magnoliopsida; Amborellales; Amborellaceae
Source: RefSeq, a predicted model, not a curated record
AAAUACCAUGCUCCCCUGGAGCAUAUAAUCAUCUAAGUAAUAGUAUCACAUUGAUCGACUGUUAAGGCAAAGGUUUCGAGAGCAACAAUCUCUGUUUCUUGCUUGCUCUGGUUCGAGGAACUGCUUCUUCGUGAGCCUUCUUUUUUAGCUUGAAUUGCCACUUCUUGUAGCGAUAUUCUGCCAAUGUGAUUGAUCUUACAUCGUGGAAAUUUGGUUUUACAGUGAUCUUGAUCUUCGGAAAAGUUGGUCAGGUUUGGAAUUCAUUUUUUCUCCAUCGUCCAGUUCAAGAACUCUGAAAUCAUCAUUAAUUACUUCCCAAUUUGUUUCCAUCACAUUUUGUAGCGUUUGCAAUCAUGGUUUCCGAUUAGGAACUAGCUUUCGAUAUCUAAUUGUUGCUCUUUUACUUUAUGCCUGUAAUUCUUGUUCUCCCUUUUUUUGACAAGAAUUCUUGUUCUUUUUCUUCUGAGUAAGUUUGUUCUGGUCUGAGCGGUUUGGGAUCUGGUAACUUCGUUUUAUGUUUGAAGUUUUCUUGAUGCAUUGGUGGGUCAGUUUUCAGUUUUUGUUGCUUUGGAUUUUGAAACAAGAGCCCAGAGAUCAAUUUCCUUUUUUUUUUGGCUUCAUUCUUGUAAUGGUUCCUCUACUGGACACUCAAGAGGGUGAAUAUUGGAGGCCUAGGUGGAUCAGCAAACACUAUUUUGCCUUUAAGGCUGUUUUCAAAUGUGUCAACUGAUUGUUCCCCAGUUAUUGUUGAGCUAAUGGUAUUUGGUUGCCUUGAUUGAUUCCCCACUCCAAGAUAUUCACUGAAUGCCGCUACUUGCCUUGAAGAUCGAUGCUAUUUGAAAUACAUGACAAUCUAACCUACAUUGUUACUGAAUAUCGGUGUACUUCCAUGAAUCAAUGAUCAUUUCUGAACUCCACACUGGUAAUUUCUGGGCAAACGCAAGUGAAUAUUGAAUUAAUUGUCUGGGAAAGGAACCAUUAAUCGACAAUCUGUUUAUCUCUUGUUCCAAGUUUCAAGUAAUCGUUUUGGCCGCAAAUUUCUGGGUAAUUGUAGAACCAGUGAUAUCAUCAUGGCAUAUACCCCACCGCAUAGAAGACACACAAAGGAUACAGAGAAGUCAACAUCCUCAUCUUCAUCACUCAUUCCCCAAUUGGAAGAGAGUUUGAAUUUUGGGAUCAGGUAUGCUGGUUCUUCAGGUCAUUCAAGCAAGAGUCUCAAAUAUGACAUGCCCAAUGUACCCAUAAAAUACUCCAAGAACUCCAUUUCAAGGUGGUGGGAUGUUGGGAUGUCGGAUAACAUGCGAUCAUCAGAAUCUCCAUCAGUUUCUUUGAAACCAUACCCUUGUCCACCUAUCGAACUAAGAACUGGUGAAAGCCCCUUGCUAUUGUGGCUAAGGAAGAAAGUGGUCACGAUAGGACUUUGGAACUUCGGUUACACAUUGCAAAGAGGAUACAACCGGACCUAGAUUCUGCUUUCCUUAUUGUAAAAAGCGAAAUGGAUUUUGGGAUGUCUAAAUAAUUAAAGCUUUCACUGACUGCCCGCUUUGGGAAAAUUCUCUUUUAUGGAGGCACUUCAAGUUGGAACAAUUCCAUUAACCUGGACAUGAUCAGAAAGAGUUUAGAAGAUGAGGGUGAAGCUAUAUACAACAAUCAAGUUCAUAAGACAUUCUAUAGAAAUGUUCCUGAGGAAUAUGUCAAAACAAUUGAAUGUCAGGCCAUCCCAAAGCUGGGACUUUUUGAGCUUCUCAAUUGCCUUAUCAUUUUACAGAUAGAGACAAACACGACACGACACUUGGUUAUUGACAUAUCAUGCCUUUGUAAGAAUGUGGACCUUCGUUUGAUUUUGGUGUCCAAGAAGAUUUUGACAGAACUACUGACUGUGAGUUUUACUGUACAAAUGCAGAGUGGGGAAAUGAUCAUUGAGCUUGAAUUUCCCUCAUUUAUAUUUGUACCAAUGUAUGGUUUCAGGUGGAAGAAAAAUCUGGCUUAUAUGAACUGGUGAACUCUGCAGUUUUGAUCCAAAUGUAAAGGGAAAACUUAGGUGGCCUCUAAAGAAAGAGGGCACUGGAGUUAGGUUCUCUAUUCAAGCAGUAUGGCAUACAGAAUCAAAGUACUUCCAGGGACCAACAACUAAGCUAAGGCUGAGACAUAUAAAUCGAUAUAACUUCCAAAACUCGACUGGCGAAGUCUCCUGGGAAGUCAAGUGUCAGAAUGCAAGAGAUAACCAGACUCUUGAUGGAUCAAAUGCUGGAUGGCAACAAGGUCGCGAUGGAGGAACUUCAAGGAACAUUAAAUCCAAAUGGGAAGAGUUCCUGAGUUGCUAAGCCCUGAGACAGUUAAGAGUUCUUAUAGCAAUCUGAA